UUGGGNUCCACUUCGUGGCGCGCACACAGGUGCUCCAUGCCUGUCGUCACCUCGUGUCGUGAGAUGUUGGGUUAAGUCCCGCAACGAGCGCAACCCACGUCCUUAGUUGCCAUCAUUCAGUUGGGCACUCUAGGGAGACUNCCGGUGAUAAGCCGCGAGGAAGGUGUGGAUGACGUCAAGUCCUCAUGGCCCUUACGGGAUGGGCUACACACGUGCUACAAUGGCGGUGACAGUGGGACNCAAAGGAGCGAUCUNGAGCAAAUCCCCAAAAGCCGUCUCAGUUCGGAUUGCACUCUGCACCUUNGGUGCAAAAAGCCUG
Molecule: ribosomal RNA, 319 nt
Filed under: Methylobacterium sp. MA1.9
Lineage: Bacteria; Pseudomonadati; Pseudomonadota; Alphaproteobacteria; Hyphomicrobiales; Methylobacteriaceae
Description: bacterial SSU rRNA
Rfam family: Bacterial small subunit ribosomal RNA
Source: RNAcentral